GUAUAGCUCAGUGGUAGAGCACUUGUAUAGCAUGCAUGAGGCCCUGGGUUUGAUCCCCAGCAC
Molecule: non-coding RNA, 63 nt
Organism: Ictidomys tridecemlineatus (thirteen-lined ground squirrel)
Lineage: Eukaryota; Metazoa; Chordata; Mammalia; Rodentia; Sciuridae
Source: Rfam